CCGGGGGCGGGAGCAGAGAGACAAGGAAAUGCGGUCACCGCCGUUAACACGCACGUGGAGCUUGGUUAAAGGAGAACAGGAGGCCUAAGGUAGAGCUUGUCCCUAACUCAGGGGCCGACACCAUGUAACCACAGCCCGCUGAACUGUCACAGAUGUCACCUGACAAGCCCAGGCUGAUGACUCGGUGGAUGCUCCACAGCUUCUUCUCCAGGGGAUCUGCGGCCUGCUCUUCCACCACUGGGCAAUGCACUUCUGCUGACACCACCGCCAGGAGAAGCCUGUUUGCCUGCCCAUUGCGGUGGUCAGUGCCAUCAAGGUACCAGGUGGACUUUCUUAGAGCUGUGUGAGGGGCCACUGCUCUAAGGAAAAGCUGUUUGCUAGGAGCUGCAGGUGGCCGGUGACAAAGCAAACAGCAAGGGAAUGGAUAGCUCAAAACAAGUCUCACCACUGCUGAACAGAACAGUGAUCCCGGCUGUGUCCUUUUGAGGGAAGACCUGGGUUUGAGUCCUGCCUCCAUCGAUCUCGAGAUACGGGACCUCAUGGAAGGGAGGAGAGGCAUUGCUGAGGAUGUGCACCUGAGCAGGUAUCGCCUCAGUUCUUUACCUGUAAGUCAUUACUACCCUGGACUCAAACUGUGUGGACACCAGGCUGGGCUCUGAGUGAUUCUUCAGUUAGGAGGUCAAAGCAGAAUCCCCAAAGCAAGCUACAGACUGCUGGCGCUCAGCGUUGGACCUUUUCAGUUUGGUUUCAUUUUCCUCCCCAGCUGGCUCUUGAAAUCCUCCCCUAGAUCUCAACCCAAUGUUUGUAAGUAUCUCUCCUAGUGUCACUCAGAGCUUUAUGGCCCCUGGGCUGCAGCCUUGGGCAACCAAAGCAGAGACCAAUCUCCCUGUCACUGCGGAAUUAUCUCCUGGGAUUAACCACGAAAGGGUAAAGAGAGGCAUUUCCAGUUGAUGUUUGGAAAUGAAAAGUGGUUAAGAAGAGACAGCGUAGAUACAUAUAACUGCAAGACUAUGAUCAAAGUCACUUUAGAACCUCAUUAAUUUGGAACCUUAUAUUUAAAAUGUGUAAUUUGGACAUAAAUUGUACUUAACUUUUCCUUCAUACUAUUCAUGUACGAAGACUGCAGAGGGACUCUGUUAGGCAGAGUUAUGGAAUUGGUUUAUACUACUUUGGCCAUUUUAACGCUACCAUUUGCUUUUGUCAGCAAUUUACAUCUGGCCACUGAAACCCACAUUUAGCAACAUGGUAAAUAGGAUGACUGCAUAUUCUUGAAAAGAAAAAGCUGCAUUUCUUUCAGUUAUAUCAUACAGACUUUUCAUUAAUUCAGGUUGGCUAAAACUUUCCCAACAGUCCCAAGGCCGGUAAAGUUUUACAGUGAUUAACUAUCCAAGCAACAGUACUUCUCUUAGGUUCAAAGGAAAACUCCCAAGGGCAUCAAACAAGGCUUGGAAAUGGCACAGGGGGACCUGAUGGGACCAUACCCGACUUUCCUUCCCCCACAUUGGAAGCCAAUUUAAUCCCAAGACUGGCAGAAAAGCAUUCCCCGUGUCCAACGGACUCUUGAUGUACUGAUCAUGUCUCUACCUCCUGUCCCCUCCAGCACAACAUUCUCUUUCUCCUUCCUUGGCCAAACUUGAUGGAAAAGGUGCCAGUACUCUGCUGUCUCCUCUCUUCUUCCCCACAUGCUCAUUUUCCAGAGGCAUUAGGAUGUCCACCCCAGCGCUCUGCUGACGCUGCUCCUGCCCAGGUCCCCCAUGACCUCCCUGCUGCUAAAUCCAACUCACUCCGACUCCCUCCUCCUUGAAAUUCCCAUGGACUUUCUCCCACUUCUGCCACCUCUCCCCGUUAUGGCCCUUCUUCCGUUGCCACCCCUUAAAUACUGAUGCUCCCAACAGCUGUCUUCUCUCCUCACCCAGCACCCUCUCCCUGGGU
Lemur catta (Ring-tailed lemur) is the source of this 1932-nucleotide long non-coding RNA. RefSeq lists it as uncharacterized. Lineage: Eukaryota; Metazoa; Chordata; Mammalia; Primates; Lemuridae. The record is from RefSeq and is a predicted model, not a curated record. The transcript is spliced from 5 exons.